UCUGCCUAAACAGUGCAAGUUCGAAGCGAACAGAUAAGGAGCUUGCUCCUUUGACGUUAGCGGCGGACGGGUGAGUAACACGUGGAUAACCUACCUAUAAGACUGGGAUAACUUCGGGAAACCGGAGCUAAUACCGGAUAACAUAUUGAACCGCAUGGUUCAAUAGUGAAAGGCGGCUUUGCUGUCACUUAUAGAUGGAUCCGCGCCGUAUUAGCUAGUUGGUAAGGUAACGGCUUACCAAGGCAACGAUACGUAGCCGACCUGAGAGGGUGAUCGGCCACACUGGAACUGAGACACGGUCCAGACUCCUACGGGAGGCAGCAGUAGGGAAUCUUCCGCAAUGGGCGAAAGCCUGACGGAGCAACGCCGCGUGAGUGAUGAAGGUCUUCGGAUCGUAAAACUCUGUUAUCAGGGAAGAACAAAUGUGUAAGUAACUGUGCACAUCUUGACGGUACCUGAUCAGAAAGCCACGGCUAACUACGUGCCAGCAGCCGCGGUAAUACGUAGGUGGCAAGCGUUAUCCGGAAUUAUUGGGCGUAAAGCGCGCGUAGGCGGUUUUUUAAGUCUGAUGUGAAAGCCCACGGCUCAACCGUGGAGGGUCAUUGGAAACUGGAAAACUUGAGUGCAGAAGAGGAAAGUGGAAUUCCCUGUGUAGCGGUGAAAUGCGCAGAGAUAUGGAGGAACACCAGUGGCGAAGGCCACUUUUGGUCCGUAACUGACGCUGAUUUGCGAAAGUGUGGGGAUCAAAAGGAAAUUAUACCCGGGUGUCCCC
RNAcentral lists this ribosomal RNA (772 nucleotides) under Staphylococcus warneri. RNAcentral describes it as "bacterial SSU rRNA". It matches the Rfam family "Bacterial small subunit ribosomal RNA", at positions 43 to 798 of the family's 1533-position model. Lineage: Bacteria; Bacillati; Bacillota; Bacilli; Caryophanales; Staphylococcaceae. The record is from RNAcentral.